AGUCAAGUAGCCAAAGGAAACCUCAAGCUGACUUCUAUUCAUUGUUUUGAAAAGAGUAUGCCGGAGGAUCUUAUAUAUGAAGGAAUUUAGUUAAAACCAUUUCAAUAAGAAAAGCUAAAUUUUACAGUAAUAUUUGAAUUGUGGUUAUAGGAUACAAAAGUGACUGGAGAAGGAUAGAAAAGUUUGUCAGAAAAUAAAUUUACCUGCUUUUUGGAAUGGCUGCAUCCAUGGCAGAAGGAUCUUGGAGAGGAGGAAUAGGUUUACUGAAAUUGACGCGGCGGCGAAUGAGGCGUAUAGGUAUUUCCGGUUUGGCAGUCACCCAAACAGCUAAUUUGCGUCCUCGCAUGUAGCUCCCAUUAAGUUGAGUCACGGUAUCAGCUACGUCUUUUCCGUGAACAAUAGCUGUAACUGAGCUGAAAAAUUAUCAACAAAAUACACAAGUCUGUCGUCGUUAAAAAGUAAUUUUAAAUAAAUUGAAAGUUGGGAAACAUGUUAGAAAGAAGCCACAAACCUCUUCUUGAAAAAAGAGAGGCGUGUGAUAGUUCCAUAUGGAGAGAAAAGUUUAACCAAAGCCCUGGAGAUUUGACUCUUCCUAAGCGAAGUGUCAUAUCCUUCAACUAUUACAAUAACCCUACUGCAGUAAUAGGAUAUUGCCGAAGAUGAUAAACAUUAUUAUUAUCAACAAAUCUUAUUUUUUAAAGAAAUCAGUGUUUACUCGUUUGCGUUUGCCGGAUACGGAUAAGCCUCAACAGAGACAUUCCAUCCUCCCACGUUACUUCCAGUAAGUUGCAAGGCCUUCUCUACUGCGUCUUGUCCCCCCAGUAAACACAUAACACCAUGACUGAAAUAACAACAACAACAACAACAACAAGUGAGCUGAUAUUUAACUUGAGCUGAUGAAUUGGAAAGAAAUGGAGGAGGAAGAAGCCACCAAAACCUGUUGAGACUCGUCUUAGUCUCAUCAAAUUUUAAGGGAAUAUAAAUCUCCCAGAUCUCUCCACAUGAAGAGAAAUGUUCUGCCAACGCCGUGUAGACAUCAUCAAGAGGAAGACCAGUGUCAUAUCCCGUAACCUUAAUCCUCCCAACGUCACUGCAAUAAUAAUACUAUCAACGUGACAUCUGAAAACAUGCAUCAUCUUACACAUGCCAAUUUCUCAAUUUACCUCAGUUUUGGAAUGUUAUUCCGUUUCGGAACCUAAAAAGUACAAGAGAUCAAAUCAGAAACACUACUAACUAACUUGAAGUAAUUUUCUCACAAACUUGUGAAGAAACCAUCAAUUGAGAAACAAAGAUAAGAAACCAGAGUGUAUCAGAAAAGCCAUAAGAGUAGAGUAAGAAGAAGAUUACCAUGGUGGAUGAGUACAUGGCUAACCCUUUUACAGAUUUAUCAAUUUAGGUCUGGUAUUUAUAAUUGCUUUUUUCUUUUGGGCCUUGAAUUUAGUUCUGGCCUGGACUCUAAGGCCCAUAUGGUCCUUCGACGGACUUUUUACCAACACAUACAGAUACAGUAGUACCCUUUUCAUGUUUUCGUGUCUUAAAUUUUUUUUUUUCCUAUUAAGAAUCUUAUGAGUUUCUUGAAGCUCUCUGUUCCAAUGUCCCUCAGUCCUUUGUCCAACCCUCAGACAAACUUUUGAAAGAAAGAGUUAGUGGUGUUUUGCAGAAACGGCAAUACGUAUUUUGCCUUUCAUGUUAUGUAAAAUUAUCAUUACAUCAAAUGGUUCUAAACUUUUAAAAAUCACAAGAGAACCAACCCUCAGACGAAACUUUUAGUUUUUAUUUGUUUUUAUCAUUAACCUAAAUUAUAUGAGUUCGUAUAUAUAUUUAAAAAACGAACGAUUGGGCGUUGAAUAUAUAUAUAUAUAUAUAUAUAUAUAUAUAUAUAUAUAUAUAUAUAUAUAUAUAUAUAUAUAUAUAUAUUAAACUAAAAGUUAAUCUAACUAAAAGUUAAUCUAACUUCUUCAAUUGACUUCCUUUUUCUUCUUAGAAGAUUUGUCUGGUGUUUUGGAGCUUUCACUACUGUAAUAAUACCAAAAAAAAAAAAACUGAGAAAUUUAUAAGAUACGAAAAAGUUUGAAAGAACCAUUAUUGUAACACGCAUGAAGACAUCUUUACUUGUGAGAUAAUCAUAUAAAAUCUACUACUAAUAAAAGGAACUCAUAGCCUCUCAAACCAUCCACAUCAGUUUAGUUGAGAGUCUUUUUCGUGUUGCCAUGUCAGCAAAUUGAGCCACAUCAGCUUAUUUAAAGACUAUAUAUACAAACUUCCGCCACGUCAGCAAGCUUUAAUUGGAUUCAGUCUUAGGAAGGUCUCGAGGGAUUAGAGGACAGCUUUAUUUAACAUUAAGCAGCUCGACAUCAAAGACCAGCCAAGAGUAAGGAGGAAUGCUACCAGCACCUUCCGCACCAUAGCUGUAGGCCAGACAAUUUUAUCAUCUCUCAUUAAAAAAGCUUAAAAUAGAACAUCACAUUACCAAAGAAAGAUAGAUAAGAGAUGAUUUGCAAAGGCUUUACCCCAUUGCUGGAGGAAUUGUAAGCAUUCUUUUGCCACCAACACGCAUUCCUUUGAAAUUUACAAAAAGAGAUCAAAACAACACCAUUUGACCAUAUUUAGUGAAGAAAUACCAGUAAGAAACUAGCUAGGUUACCAUUGACGCCAACAUCCAAUCCCUUAAUGACUUUUCCAGCACCUGUAUGUGUAACAGCAAGCACAUAAGUAUCCAAGUACCACUCACACACUAAUAAAGCUCUUACUUUCGCAUCAAGUUAUAAUACCAACCUAGACGAAACUUAUAACGUGAUUUUCCAACGGUGGAAUCGAAAAUCUUCCCAUUCCCUUGAAGCUUUCCAGUAUAAUGGACACUUACCUGCACUCAGAGACAAUAGAUUGACCUCCAACAAAUAUUUGCACAAAAACUCCAACAGUUUAGGACUAAAUGUUCAUACCCUUUUGCCAGGCUCAGCUUUCUUGCCGUUGGGGUUUCCCAUGCAUAACUCUUUAACAAUGAGGCCAUCUAGGUCAGGCGUUUGCUUCUCAACACUACUAGAAAAGGCUUUACUCUCCACUGUAGCUUCCUCACUUAUCUUCUCAUUCUUCUUAGCAGAUUCAGAUGGGGCCAUGGAGGUUUCACUUCUGCAAUAAUACCAAAAAAAAAAGAGCAUAGAAAUUUAUAAGAUGGGAAAGAAUUUGAAAGAACCAUUUACUUAUGAGCUAAUAAUUAAUAUCGAAUACCAAUAACAAAUGUACUAACUGAUAUAUCCCAAAUGACAUGACUACAUUUGAUUAUCCCAAAAAGAACAAAGAAGUUAAAUAAUAUUCAGUUUUAAGGCAAAGUCAAGUAGCUAAAAAAACCUCAAGCGCUAAAUUUUACAGUAAUAUUUGAAUUGUGGUUAUAGGAUACAAAAGUGACUGGAGAAGGAUAGAAAAGUUUGUCAGAAAAUAAAUUUACCUGCUUUUUGGAAUGGCUGCAUCCAUGGCAGAAGGAUCUUGGAGAGGAGGAAUAGGUUUACUGAAAUUGACGCGGCGGCGAAUGAGGCGUAUAGGUAUUUCCGGUUUGGCAGUCACCCAAACAGCUAAUUUGCGUCCUCGCAUGUAGCUCCCAUUAAGUUGAGUCACGGUAUCAGCUACGUCUUUUCCGUGAA
RNAcentral lists this long non-coding RNA (3638 nucleotides) under Arabidopsis lyrata. RNAcentral describes it as "long non-coding RNA (ALYR_LNC001148)". The record is from RNAcentral. Lineage: Eukaryota; Viridiplantae; Streptophyta; Magnoliopsida; Brassicales; Brassicaceae.